Entelurus aequoreus (snake pipefish) is the source of this 4306-nucleotide long non-coding RNA. RefSeq lists it as uncharacterized. Lineage: Eukaryota; Metazoa; Chordata; Actinopteri; Syngnathiformes; Syngnathidae. The transcript is spliced from 3 exons. The record is from RefSeq and is a predicted model, not a curated record.
AACUACAUUUCUAUCCUUUCCAGUAUGUUAUUGAAAACAACAGCAUACUGGCACCAUACUUAUUUGGAUUAUUGUUUCUCAGUUGUUUGUAAAUGUUGCAGUUUAUAAAUAAAGUUUUAUUUAAAAAAAAAAAAAAGUUUUUAUUUUUUUUAAAGCCUCUGCGCAUGCGCAUAGCACAGAUCCAACGAAUCGAUGACUAAAUUAAUCGGCAACUAUUUUUAUAAUCGAUUUUAAUCGAUUUAAUCGAUUAGUUGUUGCAGCCCUAAUGUAUGUAUAUAUAUAUAUAUUUAUAUAUAUAUGUAUAUGUAUAUGUAUAUGUAUGUAUGUGUACAUGAGAGAGAGAGAGAGAUCAGAAGGCAUAAGAAGAAGUAUCUGCAUUUGAUUGUUUACAUUUGAUUAUUAGCAAUCCGGAGAGGGUGUUAGUUUAGGGUUGUAGCUGCCUGGAGGUGAACUUUUAUUGCGGUUUUGAAGGAGGAUAGAGAUGCCCUUUCUUUUAUACCUGUUGGGAGUGCAUUCCACAUUGAUGUGGCAUAGAAAGAGAAUGAGUUAAGACCUUUGUUAGUUUGGAAUCUGGGUUUAACGUGGUUAGUGGAGCUCCCCCUGGUGUUGUGGUUAUGGCGGUCAUUUACGUUAAGGAAGUAGUUUGACAUGUACUUCGGUAUCAGGGAGGUGUAGCGGAUUUUAUAGACUAGGCUCAGUGCAAGUUGUUUUACUCUGUCCUCCACCCUGAGCCAGCCCACUUUGGAGAAGUGGGUAGGAGUGAGGUGGGAUCUGGGGUGGAGGUCUAGAAGUAAUCUGACUAGCUUGUUCUGGGAUGUUUGGAGUCUAGAUUUGAGGGUUUAGGAGGUGCUAGGGUACCAGGAGGCGACCCGUGAACUUACCACGCCUCUCUGUGUUUAUACCAUGGGUUUCAAAAGUAAGGCCAGGUUUUAUCCGGCCCGCGGGAUGAGUUUGCUAAGUAUAAAAAUGAGCCAACAUUUUUUAAUGAAAGAAACUGCUGUUCUAAAUGUGUCCACUAGAUGGCGCAACAGCAAUUCUGUGUAUCUUUGUAGAUUACGCUACAUAUGUACAAAAAAACACGUUAGUGCACCAGUCGAGGAAAAUGAGCAAACUACAUAAAUGACAUCCUGUAAUUUGAUUUGGAUAUCAUUUUUUUAUCUUGAUAGAUUGAAAAUGAACAACAAUGAGUUGACUAAUGAACAUUAUCACAUCAUUUAUUUAGAAAGUAUAAAUAAGGACACAUAAAGAUAGAAUACUAUUAACCGCAACAUGCAAGUGUACAAAAAACAACAAUGUAAAAUGAGUUUGACACCCCUGGUUUAUACGGAAUGCCUUUUUGCAGUCCCAUUUGAUUUAUUGCUGCAUUGAAGUUUUGGCAAGGCUGAACAAAGUGGACCUAAACAGCAUGUAGAUACUAUUUGAAAGGCCAGGAGUGAUAUUUGGUGGAGUAAUGCCAACUUGAAGAACUAAGUCCUUUAUACAUGAUUUGAAAUGUCAUCUUAAACAUUUUCAAAUUCCUGCCACUAAUUAGUGCCCAAUUUAACAUUCAUAUAUUAUUUUUGUUGGAGUUUGUUUGGGUUUGAAACAACUGAAGCUGUUUUAGUAGUUUUUGUACUUUUUAACAACAUAUUAGAAACAGCUUUUAAUGACAGUUUUGCUGUUUAGGUCUCAAGCCAAGAUGGCAAGCUUCUCCUCUUCUUGAUGGUCCUAUCAGGCUCAAUUUGGACGAAGAUGGACAAAGAUGGCCAGGCUGGGGAGGAGUCGCACCGUCCUUCAAGUCAAAAGCUACGCCAGGCAAUAUUUGAAACACAAGGCUAAAUUAGCAGCCGGUGUUGGGGCUCCCUCGUCGUCCUUUCAGCCUGCUCAGCUGUACUGCCGCCUUGGCAAACACAUUGAGAGACUGCUUGGAGACGAGGAUGAGGAUGAGGAGGUGGACAUCAGCGAGGAAGUGACUGAGUGUCAGGUCCGCCACCAGCAGCUCCUCCGUGUCACCUCCCAGAGGAGCUGGAAGAUGAUGAGGUGGACAAAGCAGACUGCAAGCGAGUGGAGGUCUGGAGGGGAAAGAGCAAGAGGAGGUCAAAGGUGAUGAAGGGGAGAAUGAUGAUGAUGAGGAGGAGAUCAUCAGCGAGGACGAAAAACAAGCCAUUCCUGAGUUCUUUGAGGGACGUCCUUCCAAGAAGAUAUCUGAAGAUCAGAAAGUCCAUUUUGGAUAAGUGGUCCACUUUUGCAAUGUAUUUGAAAGUGGCCACAUGCAUGCUUUAACAUCCUUGUUGUGUCGCAGGCUGAAGAUGAAGUACUUGAACAAGACGUCACUUCUAAACAACUGUCAACUGCAUUGGGAGGAUACACACCUACCUACAACUCAUCUUUCCUUUUCAUUUUCUCCUUCUCUACCUGGAUUUUGCUGAGGUAUAUAAUGUACAGUGUAUUUUGGCAACAACUGUAUGUGUGUAACCUAUUUCUUGUGCUGAGCAAUCAUAAAACUGUUGCGAAGACGCACUGGUUGAGGCUCGCAGUAAUCCCGCCUCCUGGUGCCGGUUAAUGCACCCCCGCCGCAGAAUGCCAUCCCCGACGGGAGCGCCACACCAACCAAAGCCCACACCCAAACCUCCACGUGCAAGACCGAAUCCACCCAAAAAAAGUCACCCAACAAGAAGCCAAAAAGUGCAAAAACAACAAUGCUCGCGCCGGAGGAGCCGUGAAUGACUGCAGGGCCACAACAUUAGGUACACCUGCAGACUGCAGCACGGAUUUCAUAUUUCAUUCAUUCACAACUCUUCCAACACGAACACCACUGUUCCCGCACUUAUAAGUAAAGGUAAGAACACGUGGCGGCGUACGGUGACAGCUGAGCUGAAGGAGAUGAACCUAACCUGGGGCGAGGCACAGCAUGUUGCUCAGGACAGGUCCAGAUGGAGGCAGAUCGUCGAAGCCUUAUGUCCCGCCAGGGACGAAGAGGAUUAAGUAAGUAAGACACAUAAUAACGUUUUUUUUUCAGCACUUUGGUAUUUUACUAUCGUAUUGUAUUCAUCCUCCUAUGUUACCAUGUUAAUGUGACACUAUGUGCACCUUAUGUCUUAUGUCUGUACAGCACUUUGGUAUUUGACUAUUGUAUUGUAUUCAUCCUCCUAUGUUACCAUGUUAAUGUGACACUAUGUGCACCUUAUGUCUUAUGUCUGUACAGCACUUUGGUAUUUUACUAUUGUAUUGUAUUCAUCCUCCUAUGUUACCAUGUUAAUGUGACACUAUGUGCACCUUAUGUCUUAUGUCUGUACAGCACUUUGGUAUUUUACUAUUGUAUUGUAUUCAUCCUCCUAUGUUACCAUGUUAAUGUGACACUAUGUGCACCUUAUGUCUUAUGUCUGUACAGCACUUUGGUAUUUUACUAUUGUAUUGUAUUCAUCCUCCUAUGUUACCAUGUUAAUGUGACACUAUGUGCACCUUAUGUCUUAUGUCUGUACAGCACUUUGGUAUUUUAGUAUUGUAUUGUAUUCAUCCUCCUAUGUUACCAUGUUAAUGUGACACUAUGUGCACCUUAUGUCUUAUGUCUGUACAGCACUUUGGUAUUUUACUAUUGUAUUGUAUUCAUCCUCCUAUGUUACCAUGUUAAUGUGACACUAUGUGCACCUUAUGUCUUAUGUCUGUACAGCACUUUGGUAUUUUACUAUUGUAUUGUAUUCAUCCUCCUAUGUUACCAUGUUAAUGUGACACUAUGUGCACCUUAUGUCUUAUGUCUGUACAGCACUUUGGUAUUUUACUAUUGUAUUGUAUUCAUCCUCCUAUGUUACCAUGUUAAUGUGACACUAUGUGCACCUUAUGUCUUAUGUCUGUACAGCACUUUGGCCAACUGAGGUUGUUUUAAAUGUGACAUAUAAAUAAAUGAAGUGAACACAUCAUUUAGUUUUUCCACUGGGGGGGACCAGACAAGCUCUGCUUCUUCCACUCAUGUUGGACGCUUGAUCACUUGAGCAAAAGUUGUGCUUGUAAAGUUUUGACAUGUUCCAAAUAAAUACAUUGAAAGUGAACAUUAAUAAUAAGUAAUUUUUGGUUGUAUGCCAACUUUGCGGAGCAGCUCUUCACAGCAUCACCUCGCUAGUUAGCUUAACGUUAGCAUCUUCCAUGCUACAUCAUAACGAUGUUGAAUAAAUGUGUUUGUGUGCCUUACAGACGGACUUGUUAUUGGCUAACAUAUAUACACAUCAUUUGUGCUAAAUGUUUUGACUUUAUUAACCUCCAGUCUUCACACAGUGAGCGUAGAAAUUAGUUUAACAUUGGGGGGACAUCAAUUUAUAUCCCAAAAUAAUGU